This 247-nucleotide ribosomal RNA is filed under the name uncultured bacterium. RNAcentral describes it as "partial 16S ribosomal RNA". It matches the Rfam family "Bacterial small subunit ribosomal RNA", at positions 1254 to 1500 of the family's 1533-position model. The record is from RNAcentral.
AUAGUGAUAUGGAGCAAAACCCUAAAAAGCGGUCUCAGUUCGGAUUGAAGGCUGAAAUUCGCCUUCAUGAAGCUGGAAUUGCUAGUAAUGGCAGGUCGGCAUACUGCCGUGAAUACGUUCCCGGGCCUUGUACACACCGCCCGUCACACCAUGAGAGUUGGAAAUACCCGAAGCCUGUGAGCUAACUGUAAAGAGGCAGCAGUCGAAGGUAGAGCCAAUGAUUGGGGUGAAGUCGUAACAAGGUAGC